RNAcentral lists this ribosomal RNA (247 nucleotides) under uncultured bacterium. RNAcentral's name for it is "partial 16S ribosomal RNA". It matches the Rfam family "Bacterial small subunit ribosomal RNA", at positions 530 to 776 of the family's 1533-position model. The record is from RNAcentral.
GGUGCCGAGGGUUAGGCGGAAUCACUGGGCUUAAAGCGUGUGUAGGCGGACCGUUAAGUACGUUGUGAAAUCCCACGGCUCAACCGUGGAACGGCUGGGUAUACUGGCGGUCUUGAGCGGCCUAGGGGCAGACGGAACAAGUGGUGGAGCGGUGAAAUGCGUAGAUAUCACUUGGAACGCCGACGGUGAAAACAGUCUGCUGGGGGCCUGCUGACGCUGAGACACGAAAGCCAGGGGAGCGAACGGG